GGGCAAUUAGCUCAGUCGGCUAGAGCACGCGGCUUACAUCCGUGAGGUCGGGGGUUCGAAUCCCUCAUUGCCCACCA
Molecule: transfer RNA, 77 nt
Filed under: Chloroflexota bacterium
Lineage: Bacteria; Bacillati; Chloroflexota
Description: Chloroflexi bacterium (freshwater metagenome) tRNA-Val
Rfam family: tRNA
About the family: Transfer RNA (tRNA) molecules are approximately 80 nucleotides in length. Their secondary structure includes four short double-helical elements and three loops (D, anti-codon, and T loops). Further hydrogen bonds mediate the characteristic L-shaped molecular structure. tRNAs have two regions of fundamental functional importance: the anti-codon, which is responsible for specific mRNA codon recognition, and the 3' end, to which the tRNAs corresponding amino acid is attached (by aminoacyl-tRNA synthetases). tRNAs cope with the degeneracy of the genetic code in two manners: having more than one tRNA (with a specific anti-codon) for a particular amino acid; and 'wobble' base-pairing, i.e. permitting non-standard base-pairing at the 3rd anti-codon position.
Source: RNAcentral